Molecule: ribosomal RNA, 468 nt
Filed under: uncultured bacterium
Lineage: Bacteria
Description: partial 16S ribosomal RNA
Rfam family: Bacterial small subunit ribosomal RNA
Source: RNAcentral
GGCGAACGCUGGCGGCGGGCUUAACACAUGCAAGUCGAACGGAAAGGCCCUGCUUUUUUGGGGUUCUCGAGUGGCGAACGGGUGAGUAACACGUGAGUAACCUGCCCUUCACUUUGGGAUGACUUCAGGAAACUGGGGCUAAUACCGGAUAGCAGCUCCUGUUGCAUGGUGGGGGUUGGAAAGUUUGGGCUGGUGGGGAUGGACUCGCGGCUUAUCAGCUUGUUGGUGGGGUAGUGGCUUACCAAGGCUUUGACGGGUAGCCGGCCUGAGAGGGUGACCGGCCACAUUGGGACUGAGAUACGGCCCAGACUCGUACGGGAGGCAGCAGUGGGAAGUAUUGCACAAUGGGCGGAAGCCUGAUGCAGAAGCGCCGCGUGCGGGAAGACGGCCUUCGGGUUGUAAACCGCUUUCGCCUGUGACGAAGCGUGAGUGACGGUAAUGGGUAAAGAAGCACCGGCUAACUACGUG